Molecule: unclassified non-coding RNA, 287 nt
Filed under: Hevea brasiliensis (rubber tree)
Lineage: Eukaryota; Viridiplantae; Streptophyta; Magnoliopsida; Malpighiales; Euphorbiaceae
Source: RNAcentral
AUUAGAUGAGACACGAUCUAAUAUACUCUUUGAAUCAUUAUAAGCUCAAACGUGUUUCGAUAAUUGGAUCAGGGCAGCCUUAAGGCAGUAAGAGAUCACACGCAAAGAAAAUAAAGAUUUAUAUGACAUAAGAACCAAUGGACCAACAACGGGAUCAAGUUGUUGUCGAAACGAUUAGGGUAAGGGAGUUAUCUAACUCUAAAUACAAGGUAAGAGAACUAAGUGAGCUUUGAUUCCUUUGAACUCCAACAGGAUACGUAGCCAACUUAAUUUCUACAAAAUUAAGU